Molecule: ribosomal RNA, 549 nt
Filed under: uncultured Glomus
Lineage: Eukaryota; Fungi; Glomeromycota; Glomeromycetes; Glomerales; Glomeraceae
Description: SSU rRNA
Rfam family: Eukaryotic small subunit ribosomal RNA
Source: RNAcentral
UUGGAGGGCAAGUCUGGUGCCAGCAGCCGCGGUAAUUCCAGCUCCAAUAGCGUAUAUUAAAGUUGUUGCAGUUAAAAAGCUCGUAGUUGAAUUUCGGGAUUAGCAGGUCGGUCGUGCCACUGGUACGUACUGGUCUUGCUGAUUCCUCCCUCUUGACGAGCCGUAAUGCCAUUAAUUUGGUGUUGCGGGGAAUCAGGACUGUUACUUUGAAAAAAUUAGAGUGUUUAAAGCAGGCAUGCGCUUGAAUACAUUAGCAUGGAAUAAUGAAAUAGGACGUUCGAUCUUAUUUUGUUGGUUUCUAGGAUUGACGUAAUGAUUAAUAGGGAUAGUUGGGGGCAUUAGUAUUCAAUUGUCAGAGGUGGAAUUCUUGGAUUUAUUGAAGACUAACUACCGCGAAAGCAUUUGCCAAGGAUGUUUUCAUUAAUCAAGAACGAAAGUUAGGGGAUCGAAGACGAUCAGAUACCGUCGUAGUCUUAACCAUAAACUAUGCCGACUAGGGAUCGGAUGAUGAUAAUUUUUUAAUGACUCAUUCGGCGCCUUACGGGAAAC